Tetranychus urticae (two-spotted spider mite) is the source of this 719-nucleotide non-coding RNA. NCBI's taxonomy places the organism in Eukaryota, Metazoa, Arthropoda, Arachnida, Trombidiformes, Tetranychidae. The record is from RefSeq and is a predicted model, not a curated record.
UCGUUAGUUUUAUUUGUUUUUAAUAGGUUUUUCCGCCUUUUUUUGUUGAAAACAACAAGGUAAGCGUUUAUUUCCUGCAAAUUUUUUUAUUAACAUCCUUGUUUCUUUCAGGGGCAACAGGAGCAACAACUAGCUAAGGCUACACUUCAACAGCUCCACGAUCAUCAUCAAAAGUAAGUUUCCCUUUUCAUUACUCUUUCUUUUUCUCCACUUUCCCUUUAGCAUACAGUUAGCUUGUUCUUACCUUUUCCAUGCAUUUUCUUGUUCUACUUUUUCUCACCUUCAACUCUUUCCUUACCGCACCUGCACACUCUUUUCCUUACCUCAUCUUUCAUAAGGUUAAGGUAAGAUGAUAUAAGGUAAAGGUACGUAAAGGUAAGGUUAAGGAUAGAUAACAUUAUCUUUCAUUACCCUUUUUUAAUCUGUGUUAACUUACCUUACCUUUACCUUAUCCAAUUUUCUCCUUAUCAUACCCUUUUUUCCUUACCUUACCUUUACGCUCUUUCCUUAUCUUAACCUUACCUUAUCUUACAUAAGGUUAAAGUGAGAUAAUGUAAGAUAAAGGUCAGUAAAGGUAAGUUCAAAGUAAGAUAACCUUAUCUUUCAUCACCAUUUCUUCUCUUGAUCUUACCUUACCUUACCUAUUCCUUUGUUACCCUGUCCCAUAUCACUUUGCACAUAACCAUAAUUGAAUAUUAAUAAAAAACAGGACAAAUCCA